GGUUGAUCAUAGCUCAGAUUGAACGCUGGCGGGAUGCUUUACGCCGGGAGUCGAACGGCGGCACGGACUUCGGUCUGGUGGCGAGUGGCGAACGGGUGAGUAAUGUAUCGGAACGUGCCUAGUAGCGGGGGAUAACUACGCGAAAGCGUAGCUAAUACCGCAUACGCCCUUCGGGGGAAAGCGGGGACCUUCAGGCCUCGCACUAUUAGAGCGGCCGAUAUCGGAUUAGCUAGUUGGUGGGAGUAACGCUCACCAAAGGCAGCGGCGACGAUCCAUGUAGCUGGUUUGAGAAGGCGAGCCAGCCACACUGGGACUGUAGCCCAGACUCCUACGGGAGGCAGCAGUGGGAAUUUUGGACAAUGGGGGAAACUGAUCAGCGUAUCCGCGUGUGCGAGAGAGGCCUUCGGGUUGUAAAGCACUUUUGGCAGGGAAAACGGCACGGGAUAAUACCCCGUGCAACUGACGGCCUGCAGAAUAAGCACCGGCUAACUACGUGCCAGCAGCCGCGGUAAUACGUAGGGUGCAAGCGUUAAUCGGAAUUACUGGGCGUAAAGCGUGCGCGGGCGGUUCCGGAAAGAAAAGAAGAGAAAGAUGUGAAAUCCCCAGAGCUAACUUUGGAACUGCAUUUUUAACUACCGAGCUAGAAGGUGCUGACAGAGGGAGAGUGCAGAUUGCGCGUGUAGCAGUGAAAUGCGUAGAUAUGCGGAGGAACACCGAUGGCGAAGGCAGCCUCCUGGGAUAACACUGACGCUCAUGCACGAAAGCGUGGGGGAGCAAACAGGAUUAGAUACCCUGGUAGUCCACGCCCUAAACGAUGUCAACUAGCUGUUGGGGCCUUCGGGCCUUGGCGCUGUGCGCGUGAAGUUGACCGCCUGAAAUACGGUCGCAGAUUAAACUCAAAGGAAUUGACGGGGACCGCACAAGCAGUGGAUGAUGUGGAUUAAUUCGAUGCAACGCAAGAAAACCUUACCUACCCUUGACAUGUCUGGAGUCCGAAGAGAUUUGGAGUGCUCCGCCGAGAGCAGAUUACAGGUGCUGUAAACAUCGUCAGCUCGUGUACGUGAGAUGUUGGGUUAAGUCCCGCAACGAGCGCAACCCUUGUCAUUAGUUGCUACGAAAGGGCACUCUAAUGAGACUGCCGGUGACAAACCGGAGGAAGGUCAGCGUCAUGGCCCUUAUGGGUAGGGCUUCCCCUGCGUCAUGCUAAUGGUCGCGGGACUGAGGUCGCCAACCCGCGAGGAGGCAAUCAGAAACCCGAUCGUAGUCCGGAUCGCAGUCUGCAACUCGACUGCGUGAAGUCCCGGAAUCAUGGUAAUCGCGGAUCAGCAUCACGCCGGUGAAUACGUUCAGGUCUUAUACCUGCCACACCAUGGGAGUGGGUUUUGCCAAGUAGUUAGCCUAACCGUAAGGAGGGCGAUUACCUGACAGGAUUCCCUUGUUGGGGUGAAGUCGUAACAAGGUAACUGUUUUCUGUUCUCCCGGGAGCAUGCA
This 1491-nucleotide ribosomal RNA is filed under the name uncultured Bordetella sp. RNAcentral's name for it is "partial 16S-23S ribosomal RNA intergenic spacer". It matches the Rfam family "Bacterial small subunit ribosomal RNA". The record is from RNAcentral. Lineage: Bacteria; Pseudomonadati; Pseudomonadota; Betaproteobacteria; Burkholderiales; Alcaligenaceae.